This is a long non-coding RNA of Canis lupus familiaris (dog), 1829 nucleotides long. RefSeq lists it as uncharacterized. The record is from RefSeq and is a predicted model, not a curated record. Lineage: Eukaryota; Metazoa; Chordata; Mammalia; Carnivora; Canidae. The transcript is spliced from 3 exons.
ACAUGCAGUACAUCACCAUGUAUUUGUAGAGAUAUUGUUCAGGGACCAAAGCAAAAAAUUAUAAUCCCUCUUGGCAUGUGACACACUGCAACAGCUCAUUUAGAAUCCUGGGUCAACCCUUUUGAAGCUGUACAACAAUCCCAUUCAAAAUAUCUGAUUUUUGAACUUUAGUUUUCUCAUCUGCAAAAUGGGGAUAAUAUCAACCACACAGUGCUGCUGAUGUGAAUGAGGCAGAAGACAGAGCCACUGAGCUCACACAGACACGCCCAGUGCCAAGGACCAGAGGGCCUUUGUGGCCUAUGGGUAGGGGACCUAAUUGGUGGGAACAGGUGCAAAGCCAGAGCAUGUGCAGCCAUGGAGACUGAAGAGCAGCACCAAGCUAAGGACAGCUUUACAAAGAGUGUCAGAAGUGUCACUCCUCACAGUAGCUUCCCAAUGCCUAGAGAGAUGGAAAGGAGUACCAUCACUGUGGCCAUCUUAAGAUCUCCUGGUGCAUGUUUUUUCUCACAAAGUGAAGCAAACCAGUCAACUGGAAUGGGAUAAAUCUUUGGAUGGUGAGCAUGCUAUGGCAAAUGAUAUAAACUGGACUAGAGGUUCUGAUCUUCAUGGUGGCUCUCUUAAAGAAGUUCUGAUUUAUUGGAUAUGAAAGUCAGAGCCCUAUGCAAGAGUUUUUUUGUAGAAGAAUCAACGAAUACUUGACUCAUUUGUGAAAUGUUGGUGCCAGUCAAGACAGACUUGUAAGUUGAUUUUGUGCCAGUUAAGACUGAUUAGACUUUUUAACUGUGAUGGAUGGUCAAUGGUCACGUAAUGAUGGCCCCAUCUACACACUGGCCACAAAAUGAUGAGAAUUGUGGAAUACAAUUAGAUAGAACACAUAGCUCAGCUAUGUGGCUGAUAACAAAAAGUCUCACUGCUGCCUAGGUAUUAAACAGUAAAGCAGAAAAAAUGUAAACAGUAGUUGGUUGUGCCUGUGAGACUUGGUCAGAGUCUUGGUGGUCUACCUGGGAGAAACAGGGAAUAGUAGAAAGAGCACUAGGAUUGGUUCUGAUGGGGGGUUCAGACUAACUCCAUCACUUUCUGUGUUAUUUUGGGCAAUUUAAUGCUUAGAAUCUCUAGUUAUGUAUCUCUAAAACAUAAUCAUCAGGCAUCUUAUAGGGAUUCUUCUGAGGGAAGUGUUGUCAUUCAAAAUAAGACUCUCAAGAAAGAUACCUGGGUCAUCUCUCAGUUAUUAUCCUAUAAAUUAUUCAUAAGGCAGAUUUUCUACUAUACUUUUUAAUCCUAAAUUGGCUUCUCCUUUUGCUACUGGGACACUUCCAAGAAAGCUCCCCCUGCCAAACAGCCAGUAUGUUUAUGGGAAUAAAUGGCUGACUUCUCAGGCUCUCACCCUUUAAGAAGAAAAAAUACACCUUCUAAACUAUAUAGGAAGAAACCCAUCCAGAGGCUCUUAUCUUAUCCUGAACUUAGGCAUUCCUGGUCCUACAAAAAUCCAUUAAAAACCUCCUCCUGCCAAUGUAUAUCCUCAGUCUCCAAUAAUAAUGAAGAUAAUGAUAGCAGUGUUAAUAAUAACAUUGUCAUUAGUGUGACAUGGCCUCUGGCCCUUCAGCAAACCCAGAGUUUUUACUUUAUAGGGACAUACUGGUUUCUGUUUACCCAUUUUUCAAGAUUGCAUAAAAAGCAUUGGCUGUCAUAUUGAUGAGAUGUAUGCCUGUUUCAUGAGGGGGUUAGGAGCUAGCUUAAGUUUAGAUAAAAAGUGAGUAAUGUCUUUAGAAAACAUUCUUAUCAAGAAAAGUCUCUGUAAACUUUCACUUAAAAAAUACCACAAUUCUUGA